UAGGGAAUAUUGCAAAAUGGGCGAAAGCCCGAUGCAGCAACGCCGCGUGGGCGAUGAAGGCCUUCGGGUCGUAAAGCCCUUUUUGAGGGGAUGAGGAAGGACAGUACCCUCAGAAUAAGCCUCGGCUAACUACGUGCCAGCAGCCGCGGUAAAACGUAGGAGGCGAGCGUUAUCCGGAUUUACUGGGCGUAAAGCGCGUGCAGGCGGAUUUGAGAGUUGGAUGUGAAAGCUCCCGGCUUAACUGGGAGAGGUCGUUCAAUACUUCCAGUCUUGAGUGCAGUAGAGGGAAGUGGAAUUCCGGGUGUAGUGGUGAAAUGCGUAGAUAUCCGGAGGAACACCAGUGGCGAAAGCGGCUUCCUGGACUGUAACUGACGCUCAGACGCGAAAGCUAGGGUAGCAAACG
Molecule: ribosomal RNA, 403 nt
Filed under: uncultured bacterium
Lineage: Bacteria
Description: bacterial SSU rRNA
Rfam family: Bacterial small subunit ribosomal RNA
Source: RNAcentral